Molecule: ribosomal RNA, 716 nt
Filed under: Bacillus cereus
Lineage: Bacteria; Bacillati; Bacillota; Bacilli; Caryophanales; Bacillaceae
Description: bacterial SSU rRNA
Rfam family: Bacterial small subunit ribosomal RNA
Source: RNAcentral
UGCAAGUCGAGCGAAUGGAUUAAGAGCUUGCUCUUAUGAAGUUAGCGGCGGACGGGUGAGUAACACGUGGGUAACCUGCCCAUAAGACUGGGAUAACUCCGGGAAACCGGGGCUAAUACCGGAUAACAUUUUGAACCGCAUGGUUCGAAAUUGAAAGGCGGCUUCGGCUGUCACUUAUGGAUGGACCCGCGUCGCAUUAGCUAGUUGGUGAGGUAACGGCUCACCAAGGCAACGAUGCGUAGCCGACCUGAGAGGGUGAUCGGCCACACUGGGACUGAGACACGGCCCAGACUCCUACGGGAGGCAGCAGUAGGGAAUCUUCCGCAAUGGACGAAAGUCUGACGGAGCAACGCCGCGUGAGUGAUGAAGGCUUUCGGGUCGUAAAACUCUGUUGUUAGGGAAGAACAAGUGCUAGUUGAAUAAGCUGGCACCUUGACGGUACCUAACCAGAAAGCCACGGCUAACUACGUGCCAGCAGCCGCGGUAAUACGUAGGUGGCAAGCGUUAUCCGGAAUUAUUGGGCGUAAAGCGCGCGCAAGUGGUUUCUUAAGUCUGAUGUGAAAGCCCACGGCUCAACCGUGGAGGGUCAUUGGAAACUGGGAGACUUGAGUGCAGAAGAGGAAAGUGGAAUUCCAUGUGUAGCGGUGAAAUGCGUACACAUAUGGAGGAACACCGUGGGCGAAGGCGACUUUCUGGUCUGUAACUGACACUGAGGC